Ficedula albicollis (Collared flycatcher) is the source of this 1717-nucleotide long non-coding RNA. Lineage: Eukaryota; Metazoa; Chordata; Aves; Passeriformes; Muscicapidae. The record is from Ensembl.
AUGGCACAGGCACGGUGUGCCCUGACUCUCAUCCUCCUCCUGCUGGCCCUGCCAGCCCAGGAUGUUGGGGCUGCUCCGUGGCGAGCACAGGCAGUGGCACUGGAGCGUGAGGCUAUGCAGGAGCAGGAAGGCCAGCAGAAAAUGCCAGUCCCUGGGGAAAACACCAGGGCCUUUUACACAACAGAUGGUGCUCCAGGAUACGAGGGGAGCUCUUUGGGGGGAAUUUGUUUGCAGCUGUGGGCACAGGCAGGGCUUCUCCAACUUCUCAGCUGGACUCUGCACUUGAACUCCCCUGGCACUGCAGGAAUCACUGAUCCAGAGCAUCAAGAUGGAAUGGGACAAUCUUCCAUGGAGACGUCCAAAGUGCUACAUGAAAUCCUGAGGGAGCUGAGAAUGAUACUAGGAGGUGUGAAGAGCCUGAGCCUCAACAGCGCUGUCAGCAGGAGAUCCACCAGCGCUGGGGACAGCGGGGCAGACCUGGACGCUGUGGAGAACGGAGCAGACCCAGACACUGUGCUGGGCAGGGCAGACACAAACGCUGUGGAUGCUAAUUCUUUCCAGAAGUACUGCAUCGAAGGAAUUGUGGCGGUCCUUGGCUCCAUGCUGCUCGGAAUGGUGCUGUGCUGUGUGCUCCAUGUAUGGAGGAAGAGGAGAAAGAAAACGUAGCAUCAGGGAGCACCUCACAGCUUCCUGAGCCACUUCAGAGUGUCUGGACAGCCGCACAGAAGAAUAUUUGGACCAGUAUAAAUAAAGAGCAGCAGCACAAUCAAUUUUGUUGUACUGGCAGCAAACUUCCAUGGGUGCCACUGUAGGGCCUGGGAGUCCCCUGGCUACUGAGGGGCUGCAGGGAGCCCCAGAAUGCCACUGAAUCUAGCUUGCCGCUGGUUCUAAUUGAUUCUUACUUGAUUUUCACUAUAUGUAUUAUCUAUGCUGUAAGCAAUAGAGUGACCCCAGACACGACCCUUUGUUGUGUUUUUGCAAAUUCGUAUUAAUUCCACCUGAACAAGAGGAAGAACUUUUCCAUGCAAGUGACCACGCACUGGAACAGAUUGCCCAGGUUUUGGAGUCUCACCCACUUGUGAUAUUCCAGGACUGUCUGGACAUAAUUCUAUGCAAUGUGCUCUGGAUUAUCCUGCUUGAGGAGGGAGGUGGAACCAGAUGACCGCACACUGUUGUACCUUUCAACCUUAUCCACAAUAUGAUUGAAGUUUGUUUUCACUAAUACCUUUGCCAGUGAUUCACCAGCACACAGUGGGUGGAAGGGGUCUCCCAUGCAGGGGAGGCACCCAGUGAGAUUUCUUCAUAUGCUUCUUCAUAUGCUUCAUAUGCAUCUCCGAGAGAAAUGCAUGGCAAGGAAACGAGCUGGAUGAGUGAGCUGGGGCAGACCUUGACGGGGCUUUUUCCAUCCCAGCUUACUGGGACACCAGGAAAAGGUGGGCUGCCUGUGCAGGCAUCCCCUGUGGAGCCCUGCCAUAGGGCCCCUGUGUCUGGCUGCUGCCCAGACAGGCACUGAAUGCUCCCUAGUCUCCAGCAACAUAUAGACCUGGGAAUAUUUUAUAUAUAUUCUGUUCUAUACCUUUUAUCAUAUUUUGACAUAUUAACACUCUGUGGUUCACACAUUUAUUCUGAACCUGCUUUCCUGUUACUCCAAUAAACCAAACUAUUCAUGAAUCUGGAUUGAGUAAGUUCUCAUGGAACAUGACUGCGCUUACAGUGC